UACGUAGGGGGCAAGCGUUGUCCGGAUUUAUUGGGCGUAAAGAGCUCGUAGGCGGUCUGUUGCGUCGGCUGUGAAAACCCGGGGCUCAACCCCGGGCCUGCAGCCGAUACGAGCAGACUAGAGUUCGGUAGGGGAGACUGGAACUCCUGGUGUAGCGGUGAAAUGCGCAGAUAUCAGGAGGAACACCGGUGGCGAAGGCGGGUCUCUGGGCCGAAACUGACGCUGAGGAGCGAAAGCGUGGGGAGCGAACAGG
Molecule: ribosomal RNA, 253 nt
Filed under: uncultured bacterium
Lineage: Bacteria
Description: partial 16S ribosomal RNA
Rfam family: Bacterial small subunit ribosomal RNA
Source: RNAcentral